GACGCUGGCGGCGUGCCUAAUACAUGCAAGUCGAACGGCUUUUUCAUGGAAGCUUGCUUCCACUGAGAAGAUAGUGGCGAACGGGUGAGUAACACGUGGGUAACCUGCCCAUAAGAGGGGGAUAACAUCCGGAAACGGGUGCUAAUACCGCAUAGUUUUCUUGAUCGCAUGAUUGAGAAAGGAAAGACGGCCUUUGUGCUGUCGCUUAUGGAUGGACCCGCGGCGUAUUAGUUAGUUGGUGAGGUAACGGCUCACCAAGACGAUGAUACGUAGCCGACCUGAGAGGGUGAUCGGCCACAUUGGGACUGAGACACGGCCCAAACUCCUACGGGAGGCAGCAGUAGGGAAUCUUCCGCAAUGGACGAAAGUCUGACGGAGCAACGCCGCGUGAGUGAAGAAAAGGUUUUCGGAUCGUAAAACUCUGUUGUCAGAGAAGAACAAGUUGGAGAGUAACUGCUCCAGCCUUGACGGUAUCUGACCAGAAAGCCACGGCUAACUACGUGCCAGCCGCAGC
This 514-nucleotide ribosomal RNA is filed under the name uncultured bacterium. RNAcentral describes it as "bacterial SSU rRNA". It matches the Rfam family "Bacterial small subunit ribosomal RNA", at positions 32 to 518 of the family's 1533-position model. The record is from RNAcentral.